This 256-nucleotide ribosomal RNA is filed under the name uncultured bacterium. RNAcentral's name for it is "partial 16S ribosomal RNA". It matches the Rfam family "Bacterial small subunit ribosomal RNA", at positions 524 to 776 of the family's 1533-position model. The record is from RNAcentral.
GACGUAGGUGGCGACCGUUAUCCGGAAUUAUUGGGCGUAAAGGGUGCGUAGGCGGCAUGAUAAGUUAUUGGCGGCAAAUCGAGGCUCAACCUCGUGGAAACUGAUAAUACUGUCUUGCUUGAGUGCAGAAGAGGUUAACGGAACUCCAUGUGGAGCGGUAAAAUGUGUAGAUAUAUGGAAGAACAUCAAUAACGGCGAAGGCAGUUAACUAUUCUGUUACUGACGUUGAGGCACGAAAGCGUGGGGAGCAAAAAGG